Molecule: unclassified non-coding RNA, 272 nt
Filed under: sea anemone metagenome
Description: partial contains small subunit ribosomal RNA and internal transcribed spacer 1
Rfam family: Eukaryotic small subunit ribosomal RNA (bases 1-154)
Source: RNAcentral
GCACCUACCGAUUGAAUGGUCCGGUGAAGCCUCGGGAUUGUGGCGAGUUCCCUUUAUUGGGAGUUUGUCGCGAGAACUUGUCUAAACCUUAUCAUUUAGAGGAAGGUGAAGUCGUAGCAAGGUUUCCGUAGGUGAACCUGCAGAAGGAUCAAGAUCGGAAGGGCACACGCAUGAACUCAAGUCACGUGCCUUGAAAUCGUAUGCCGUCUUCCGUUUGAAAAAAAAAAGGUAACCACAUACCAAGGCGGCGAACGGUAGGGGUCCUGAGACAG